Molecule: ribosomal RNA, 800 nt
Filed under: uncultured ciliate
Lineage: Eukaryota; Ciliophora
Description: bacterial SSU rRNA
Rfam family: Eukaryotic small subunit ribosomal RNA
Source: RNAcentral
UGCAUGUCUAAGUAUAAAUGAUAUACAGUGAAACUGCGAAUGGCUCAUUAAAACAGUUAUAGUUUAUUUGGUAAUCGAAUUUACAUGGAUAACCGUGGUAAUUCUAGAGCUAAUACAUGCUGUAAAGCCCGACUUCACGGAAGGGCCGUAUUUAUUAGAUAACAGACCAAUAUUCCUCGUGUCUAUUGUGGUGAAUCAUAGUAACUAAUCGGAUCGCAUGGGCUAGUCCCGCGACAAACCAUUCAAGUUUCUGCCCCAUCAGCUUUCGAUGGUAGUGUAUUGGACUACCAUGGCUUUUACGGGUAACGGAGGAUUAGGGUUCGAUUCCGGAGAGGGAGCCUGAGAAACGGCUACCACAUCUAAGGAAGGCAGCAGGCGCGUAAAUUACCCAAUCCUAAUUCAGGGAGGUAGUGACAAGAAAUAACGGGUCGGGGUUCUACCCCGGGACUGCAAUGAGAUGAAUUUACACCCCUUUUCGAGUAACAAUUGGAGGGCAAGUCUGGUGCCAGCAGCCGCGGUAAUUCCAGCUCCAAUAGCGUAUAUUAAAGUUGUUGCGGUUAAAAAGCUCGUAGUUGAAUUUCUGCCAAGGACGACCUACCCACCUAAGGGUGCGUGUCAGUGUUGACCGAGGCAUCCUCCUAGACGCGUCCGAGCUUCACUGUUCGGUUCGUGCUAGGACUUUUACUUUGAGGAAAUUAGAGUGUUUCAAGCAGGCUUUCGCCUUGAAUAUUUUAGCAUGGAAUAAUAAUUUAGGACUUCGGUUCUAUUUUGUUGGUUUCUAGAACUGAAGUAAUGAUUAA